This 79-nucleotide non-coding RNA is filed under the name Moorena producens 3L. Lineage: Bacteria; Bacillati; Cyanobacteriota; Cyanophyceae; Coleofasciculales; Coleofasciculaceae. The record is from RNAcentral.
AGGAGCCGUGUGAGACGAAAGUUUCAUGCACGGUUCUGAAGGAGAGGUGCUCCCCGUAAUAGGGGACAUCGACUCUAAC